GCAUCAAUGCCCUCGGAGCAAGGGAUAGUUCAUUACUAUUAUUAUUAUCGCAAAUAUUUAGUUAAAUUGACAAAAAAAGAGGGGGAAAAAAAGGACCAAUUCUAAAAAAGAGUGCAAGAUGAAGCCAGAUCAUCAACUAAAUAAGGAUAAACUAUUCAAUCAUUAUUAGAAAAACCAAGGAUUAAUAGAAAGUAUAGUUUCAUUGUAGAAGGAAUAUUAUAGAACACUGCCAAGGCUUCGUGGAUUUGUGCUAUUUUAUAAAAUGAGCUUUAAAUUUAAACAAAGUGGAGCAAAGUCAUGCGGAAUACAAGAUUGUAAUUUUUGGCUUGUCUGGAGGCUUUGACAACAUACUUCAAUUGUAAUCCAAUCCACUCAUAAAAUUAUUAAAAAAUAUAUCAAAUUUAUCACCAAAAAAAAAAAAAUCUUUGUUUCUAAUACUAAUAUAUUGUAUAUAUAGAGCAACUUUUAGGAACAAUCUAUGAGUAUUUGGAACUGAAAAGAAUCACAAUUUCUAUGGACUUUCUUAGAUUCAAAAAUUAAAUUAUUGAUGAGUCUAUGAAUGCCCCCCCCACUCACAAGUUCAAAUGAAUUGAGUAUUCACCCAGCUCUAAGCACUGCUUGUUUAUCGAAAGAGUUCUGUAAGUAAAUAUGGGUCUCACUCCACUUAUUAAGGCUAAUUAGGAAAUCUCAAACAAAGCCCUUGUUAAGCUGAACUCCAAAUAGCUCACAAUCGAUUUCUCCCAUUUGCAGCCUUAGAACCCACCAGUGACGAAUGGAAAAGGGCAUGAGAUAUCUUGGAGGCAUAAUAACAAAAUGUCCAAUUGAUGCACCAACAAAAUAUUCCCAUUCAAUUAGUUCACAGAACCACUUUGUAUAAAUCUUCCAUCAUUUUCAGCAGAAGUAGAAGAAAACUUGAGCACUUGCAUUUUCCCCCUUUUUAUUCGGAAACCUACCAUCUACAUCUCUGCCCCAAAAAUCCAUAUCCACUCGUGCCCUUUUGCUUCCAAACUUUUCACUACAGUUACAGGAGUAUCCAGAAUUGAUUAUAAACCUUGCCAAUGCACUCUGCUGCCAGCUUGCAGCUUAUUCAUCUUGUCACAAACCCAAGAAAACUUUCAUGCAGCAGUUUAUUAGGGACAUUUUAAAGAUGAGAGGAACAACCCAACUCCUCUGGAUAUCUCAAGCCACAAUCAAACAAAAUAGCUUGAUCAUCAUAAAGCACAUUUUGCUAACAUGCAAAAUCAAUAACUAAUCAGAAGAGAUAAAUCUAGCAGGUACUCAAGCUUUACACAUAAAAGCAUUCUAAAGCACAACAAAUGCAACGGACAUUGCAUUAUCUUCCAAGAUCACACUUUAAAACUUUUUGAAUACAAGAAAUAGGUUAAAUAUAUCAGACUGUUGAUGCAAGAACACGUUUAACAUUUUCAUAAAAUAUGACAAAUCACUAACAUUUUCAUAAAAAUAUGACAAAUCGCUAAUCUUUGGCUGCCCAACAUAAAUAGAGAAGUAAUAUUUAAAAUUAAAAACUGAAUUUAAUCAUACUGAUUUAUGUAAUUUCAGUACAUUGAGUUUUCUUUUUCCUCAGUUCUCCCACAGAAGCAUAUGUUUCAUGUGUUAAUUAUACACAAAUCUCAAGUCGCUUCCUUUUGCCCGCUGACAGCGUGUUUCAUAUAUAACAUAGACAUGAGAUACCUUAACUCAUUCUUUCAGGUUGUACAAAUGGUCAGAACAUCAUUUUCUCAAGGCUAAAUCUGCCUGUUCAAGUCCCACCAACCCAAACAAAUGCAGAAACUAAAAGAGAAGGAGGUUUAACUAACCAAAUAAUUAUCAAUAUGUAGUUAUGCCCAUUGAUAAGCCUGCCAAACUACACGAGUACUAGGUUGAAUAGGCCAUAGGUCAGUCUCACUUCAAUAGAAGUUGUAGAACUUCCAAAUGGUUAAAAAUUUUUGCAUCACAGUGAUUUCAGCCAAAAGUGGGCAGUUGUGGCUUGAAUAUAUCAAGGAAUAAGAAGAAAAAUUAAAUACCCUUAAAUAUCGGUAGCACCCCAUUAAAUGUAGAGAACAUUAAAAUGCAUGACCAAAACUAAAAUUAAUAGAUGCAACUAAAAAUGAUAAUAUAUACACAUAUUGAAGAAGGAAUAAAAUCACAUACCUUUGACAUCAAUUGAUGGCAAAUUUACAAAGAGAGGAACAAAACUCUAAAGAAUGGCCAGAAAUGGAAACUCAGAAUACUUCCUAAUUCAAUGAUCCACGACACUUUCUUGAACCACAAUUGCAUGGUAUCUUUUUCUCCUCCAAAGGAAAUUUGUAGUUGUAAGUGAUUUCUUCCCCAGCAGCUAUAUGUCGUUUCGCAUAAAUGAAAAUUUUUUUCUGACCUUCAACGCUUAUGACCUUGGUAUAGCAGUUAGGCUCACAAGAGUGGUUUAUGAAUCUUGCAAUUCCCCCAUGCUUCGUAGCAUCAACCACAUAACCAUCAUCAAGUCUAAAAAGAUAACUGCUGCCAAUUCCCAUUUUCUCAUAAAGACGCUCUCGUAUAUCAGAUAUUCGAGGACGAAUUAGUUCACCAACAUAUUCAAUUACAAAGUCCUCAGCCUCAAUUGGCUCCAAUGCAACAAGACCCCAGUCAUGAAUUUUGCUUCGUUGGAAACGUAGACGCUUUUUUCUUGCCUUCAAUUGUGUAGCUUUUAAAAGGUCAGCACCUUCAGCUGCAGCAAGAAGAUUCCGCAACUUCACCCUGUUUGUUCUAGCAGAAAGAACCUUACCAUUAGACAACUGAGAAGUAUAAGCCUCAGAACUCGAAUAGUUGGCAUGAAUACAGUGAAUUCCCCUAACACGUGCUCUUUCAGCAGGACUUGCAUUACGCGACCAGGCGUGCCAUUCCCAACCAUUAAUUGAAGAACGUGCACAUCCAUCAGACCUAGGGCAGGGAUUUGAUGUUCUAGAUUUAGAGGACUUUGUCUUUCGCACUGUAACCAGUCUAGUUGCUACUUGCUUGGAAGCAGUAUUGGCCACUUUCAUAAUCUUUGUAGGAUGUUGCGAUGACCCACCACCCACUGAAUGCUUCCUUUUCAGCUUUGCUACCUUAGCAUUUAGAUUCUUUUUGGAAUAAUCAUGAGCUGGUGCUUCCUCAAUUCCAACAUCAUGGCCACUGCUAUCGAUAACCUUGUUCACAUUAGCACAAUCCUCACUCAAGUUUGAAACACUCUUCCUACUAUGCUUUACAUGUUCUGCGACCUUAUUAUUAGGUCUCGGAACUGUUCGCUUAAUCUUUAUUACUUUUGGAUGAGUAGCAUUUUUGGCCAAUGAUUGAUAACUUGGUGAAUUGCUUUUAACUUCAGUUUUUAGAGGCCUAGCAUUAACAGAUAAUUCAGUCUGGCCCUUGGUUACUUUCCUCUUCUUCAGAGUUGCAACAACAGGUUUGACCACUACACUCUCAGAAACAUCUCUGACAAUGUGCUGCUUUCUUGACUUCUCCACAGGCUGAUGCUGUAACCCUGUGUCAACAGGAGUCACAGACAGAGAAGAUGAACCCAACUUCUUCCGCACCAACUUUUUCUUGCGGUAGUAUGUGUUCGCCAUAGAGUCUGAAUUAUUAAAUUUCCCUUCCACAUAAGAGUCAGGUUCAAGGUGUCUUCUUGAAGUACGAUGAAUUCCAAGAAAUUGAUGAAGGAUACCAUCAAUAACCACCGAUAUCCCCCCCCUUAGUACAUCAUCAUGUAACUUCUGCCUGCACAUUGCCAUCGCAACAUACUCUCUGAUCUUAGGAAUGGACUCAUCUGAUCUUGAUGGUUGGAAUUUACAUGUAGGUGGAGGGACAAUAAUUCUAGCAUUAUCUUCAAAUCCCGGUGGUGGAGGUUCAUCAAUAUUUUGGUCAUCCAUUGUAUCAUCAACGUAUGCCCCUGAUUUUUCAAAAGCUCUUGCCAGAAAAUUUGACAAAAGAUUCUCAGAUGAACAGGAACCAAAGGGUUUUCCAGCCUGUAUAGAAUCACUGUAUGUCUCAACAGACAAUUUAUUGGAUUCAAUCCUUGGUUCAUCAUGCAAUUGUGACGAACUAUAUUCAGUUGUCUGACAACAUUGAAUGGAAGAUUCAACAGUCUUAUUCAAUUUGCCAUCCUCUGAUAACUCAACUACCUUCCUCACUUCCUCUUUGACAAGAAUUUCAACAUAUUCAACCAAAGACACCUUUGUAGACAUGUGUAGCUCAUUUUCUACACAUUCUAAGAUGCGUUUGAUGCCAUUAUAUGCACAACUGCAUGAUAGGCUCUUCAGUUUAGAUGACUUCUCCCCCCCAGGCACAAAUGAAGAAAUGCUAGGUGAUUGAGAUUGACUAUCAUUUUUAACCAUCACAAGAUCAAAACCAGGAGGACAAUCAAAUUUGCAAUCAGAGGACUUCUGCUCGGGUAGGAAAAGUUCACUUGGUAAUUUUUCAGUCUCCUUGACAUAAUCUCUAACACUAGCAGGAAUUCUAAUCUUUUGAUCAGCAAACCAUAGUUUUCUUUUCCGCCAGGAAGUAGAAUACUCUGUAAUGGCAUCAUAAAAGACUGCAUUCCACAUGACUUCCAUGCAAUAAUCAAAAAGAAUUCUACAAACAACUGCGCAAGACCCCAAGAUAUUAUCAAUGCUUCCAACAGAUUUUUUGCUUCUGUGGAACUGCACAGGCAUCUGAUCAACAUGUGCCUGAUCAGAUCUAAGGUUGCAAGUUGAAGCUUCACACUCAGGAGCAGCAACAUUCCUUCUCUCAACAGGAGCUUCACACGUUCUUUCAUCUGUAGAAAAAGUUUUGACAGCUUGGUAGUUGAGCAUAGAAUUUCUAUGAGCUUUCUUCAUAUUAGAGAACUCUGAGAUAACAUUGCUGAUUAUCUCAUCUAAUGCAACUCUACGAGCUGCUUUCAUUAUUCCAGAAUGCAGUUGACAAGAAACUUCUUCAGAAAUUUCAGAAAUGAAGCUGAGUAGUGAGCCACUCUCGGUUUUGGCAUCAGACACAAAGACAGAUUCCAGUUUAUCCCUUCUCCAAGCAUUGAUAACAGAUAGCAGGGGGAAGGGUCUAAACUUAUUUUCAUUAUGAUAAAUCAUUAAUGAGUCCCAGAGAUAUCCAUAGUGAUGCCAGGAAUAAAGUUCCAGUAGAGAAUGUGGUCCAUGUUUCCUCCCCUCAUCAUCCUCAAACAUCCAACAAGAAUCUUCCCCUGACAGUAGUGAGAAUGGUGUGUCAUGGUUAGCUGCAUUGGAAUUUGUGAUAGGCUGAUUGGAGCAACAAGUAUUGUAAUGCACUUGUGAAUGGGAUACCAACCGUGCAUCUGGACAAGGAGAAACUUGAGCAGCAUGCAGAACAAGGCCUUCUUGCCUAUGUACAGCUGAAUUCACAUUGAAAGAGGCAAAACAAUUUGUAGGCAUGGAUGUUCCUGAGAUACACAUGCUCAGAUAUGCAAAACCAGUGGCAACAUGGUCAGGGAACUGCUUGAAGUACUUCAAAGGUACAGGAUUCAGUAAUGUCCCAAUUACAAUGGGAUAAACAGGAAGAUCCUCAGGCAGGAAACCAGUAGAUAAACCCUCGUAUAACUGUUGCUGAAUAUAAGGACCACACAUCUGUCCAUUUUCAUUGAUAUACAUCCAUCCACUCACAAAAGUAGGUCCAGAGUAAUUCUUGUCCUGGGAAGAUGAACCCAUUCCCCCACCAUUAUUAGACUGUGGAAAAUCACCACUAUUGCCGUUCAACUGGCAACUCAUCUCCAACACAGAAUUAGAACAAAUCUUUUCAUCCAAACUGCGGCUAGAUGAUGAAGCAUGACUGGCAAAGCACCCAUGAGAUGAGCAUUCCAUGGUAUUCAACUGGAAUGUUGUGGCCAUAUGCAAAUCAAGUUCUUGAUGUUCAAAAUCUGAAACUUUCAACCUCUUCCUAGAGAAGAAGGAAUUAUCAAAUUCCUGAUCAAGUGCUGCGGAAGAAACCAUGGUCUGAAUAAACUCCCCUUUGGAAGGCAACCUCCCGGCGAUGUAUGAGUGCGACGGCGGUCCCGGCUAAGAGCGCGGAGGACAGGAAGGCGUCUCCAUCUUACUAGCGUGCAAAGCCAGAGGCUUGAAAACCACGGACAUUUGCUUGUUUCGAUCUAGCUCCCUCCGAU
RNAcentral lists this unclassified non-coding RNA (6115 nucleotides) under Hevea brasiliensis (rubber tree). Lineage: Eukaryota; Viridiplantae; Streptophyta; Magnoliopsida; Malpighiales; Euphorbiaceae. The record is from RNAcentral.